CUCAUGUCAGCUCAUAACUUCGCUCCUCGAUCGCUUUAUCUUUCUAGUGAUCUAGUGAUGCGGGAAGGGAAUGAUAAUUAGACUCCUAUAGCAGUUCGGGAGCAUCGGCAUCUAUUUGGUAGAAUAUAACGACCUGAUCUCUUUGCUUUCGAUGGCUGCUCGGGGCUGAAACAUAGUGGAAAUGCGAAUAUGAUCGAUCCCGGCUCAUAAGAAGUACGGAGGUUCUUGUAAGUUGGGUCAGCGGUUCCAGUGACUCAAGGAAUAGGGCAUUUUGGCACUGUUGAAGUGAUUGGCGGAAAUGCCCUUGAGACGAGAAUCCCGUUGAAAUGGAAAGUCCUUGGUCUACAUACAUUAGUAGUAGGUUACGCUCCUAUUAUUGAAAAGGAGUUAUCCUCCUCAAAAUCCUUCCCCCCUUGGUCGAGUUGGCUUAAGCCCGAAUCCAUCCUUACGGAAGAAGGGCGGGAUAUCGGCUACGAGAGAGAGUCCUUGUUGUUCACCUCCGCCUCCCGACGCUGCUGACCCCUACCGGGACCUUUUUCCUUUAUUCGCUACAAGACUGGUCCAAAAUUCUAGUUCGUUGCACUCACCCUUCGUUUCUGUUAAUCAUUCAUGACCCCCUGAUCUCUUUGCUUUCGAUGGCUGCUCGGGGCUGAAACAUAGUGGAAAUGCGAAUAUGAUCGAUCCCGGCUCAUAAGAAGUACGGAGGUUCUUGUAAGUUGGGUCAGC
This 726-nucleotide long non-coding RNA is filed under the name Nicotiana benthamiana. RNAcentral describes it as "long non-coding RNA (NBEN_LNC038038)". Lineage: Eukaryota; Viridiplantae; Streptophyta; Magnoliopsida; Solanales; Solanaceae. The record is from RNAcentral.